RNAcentral lists this long non-coding RNA (336 nucleotides) under Zea mays. Its description in RNAcentral is "long non-coding RNA (ZMAY_LNC005725)". The record is from RNAcentral. Lineage: Eukaryota; Viridiplantae; Streptophyta; Magnoliopsida; Poales; Poaceae.
CUUCUGAUCUGCAGGCGGUUGGCCGUCCGCGUCUGGCGAAGGAGCUGGGGUAGUGUGCUCUGGCGAUGGCGCUGGGCGACGCCUGGGCGCAGGUGCAGUCACCGGAGCAGGGGCAAGUGGGGGUGUGGGUGCAUGUGCAGGCGACGGCGACGGCGACGGCGAGACCGGUACAGGGGCAGGCGACGGCGAGACCGGCGCAAGGGCAGGUGUAGGUGCAUGUGCAGGCGAGGAGGCCGGCGCAGGGGCGGGCGCAGUGUGUCCCUGGUCGUCGUUAGACUGCUGCCUUGGCAGGAGCACCGCGUCGAUGAGGUAGACGGAGAGCGGCGCCUUGUCGAG